GCCGUCAUUGUUAACAGUUCACUUCAUUGUGCGUGUUGAGUUGAGUUGCAGACCGAGCCCCUCUCUGGCUGGGAGGUAGGUUUAGGUGAGUCUCUCAGGCUGGAGGCGGAGAUUUUAAUGCACCAGGUGGAGAGGAUCUGGCGAUCAGGGGGUUGGAGUCACUCACUCACAGGACAGUGAAGAGCGAGCAGUGUGAGAAAGCGAGAUUGAAGAGCUUGGGAAGAGGAGACUGCAGGAAUAAAGCUUGCAAAGCCUGAAGAAGGAGCCGGUGAGCUUUUGAGUGGCUGACUACUUAUGGCAUGAAAUGCAAAAUCAAAUGUCCAUAUAUUUAAUGUGUUUUAAAAAGUAUUCAAGCUAAAAGUAAUUGGAUAAAACUUGAAUUGUGUGUAUUCAGCGGAGUUAAAAUCUGGUGAAGGUUAAAGGUUAAAAUCAUCAUUAAAUAGUGUUUUAAAAAUGUAUUUAAUUUAGUAUUGGGAUACUUUAAAUUUGGGUUGUCUUUCUACUUAUUU
This is a long non-coding RNA of Gasterosteus aculeatus aculeatus (three-spined stickleback), 509 nucleotides long. The record is from Ensembl. NCBI's taxonomy places the organism in Eukaryota, Metazoa, Chordata, Actinopteri, Perciformes, Gasterosteidae.